UGAGGAAUAUUGGUCAAUGGGCGAGAGCCUGAACCAGCCACGUCGCGUGAAGGAAGACUGACCUUACGGUUUGUAAACUUCUUUUGUAGAGGGGUAAUGGCAGAUACGUGUAUUUGCGUGAAAGUACUCUACGAAUAAGCAUCGGCUAACUCCGUGCCAGCAGCCGCGGUAAUACGUAGGGGGCUAGCGUUGUCCGGAAUCACUGGGCGUAAAGGGUUCGCAGGCGGAAAUGCAAGUCAGGUGUAAAAGGCAGUAGCUUAACUACUGUAAGCAUUUGAAACUGCAUAUCUUGAGAAGAGUAGAGGUAAGUGGAAUUUUUAGUGUAGCGGUGAAAUGCGUAGAUAUUAAAAAGAAUACCGGUGGCGAAGGCGACUUACUGGGCUCAUUCUGACGCUGAGGAACGAAAGCGUGGGUAGCAAACAGG
RNAcentral lists this ribosomal RNA (424 nucleotides) under Verrucomicrobiota bacterium. Its description in RNAcentral is "Verrucomicrobia bacterium partial 16S ribosomal RNA". It matches the Rfam family "Bacterial small subunit ribosomal RNA", at positions 355 to 776 of the family's 1533-position model. The record is from RNAcentral. Lineage: Bacteria; Pseudomonadati; Verrucomicrobiota.